Molecule: long non-coding RNA, 3762 nt
Organism: Pecten maximus
Lineage: Eukaryota; Metazoa; Mollusca; Bivalvia; Pectinida; Pectinidae
Exons: 2
Source: RefSeq, a predicted model, not a curated record
UAUAUAUAUAUCGUUUUGUAGUCAAAAUGAUCCGAAGUCUUGGGGUAAAAAGACUGUAAAUUAAGUGAGCACAUUAGUGAGGCAUCGAAGCUUUAUGUUUUAAUUAGCACUCGCAGGGACGUACAUACAUGUCCCUGGCUCUGGCAUCCCAUUUACUGAAAAAAGGUUAUAGGGGCAGGUUAUUAUAAGGUCGAAUACCGUACAUGUAAUCAUUCUGACUACUACUGUCUCAUAAUAUAUAUUUAUAUAUAUGUACAAUGUAAUAUAGAAACUGAACACGUAAAGUUUUAGUACUACUUGUAUGGAUGGUCAUGUGAGCUAACGCUCUGGCAUAGUAGCAGUGUGCCACCAUCUGUUACCUUCGCCUGUACUUGUAACAACUAGACAACAAUUAAUGUGGGACUGGAAGAGGUCUCGCCUAUUUCGUCGAAAGGGGAAAUUGCCUUAAAAGUCGUAUGUACGUGUAUUUGCAAUGACAGCUGACAUAAGGUGAACGAUUUCUCUAUUAAGAUAAGGUGAGCAAUAAUGGCCUUGUUUAUUUCGAUGUAUUUUAAACCACUGGGUCUUCUUUUUAAUGUGUAAAAUACCACUUGCGUUUUUAACGUAUAACCAGAAAAGCAGGUAAACACAAUAGAUAAUUCAGGGGCCAUGAAUUCAUGCUUGUAUGAUAAAACAUUCUCCCACCGGUGGUUAAUCUCACCGAGUAUCAUGAAUCUUGUAUGUUUUGUACAGUGUUACAGUCGAACAAUAGAUGAGUGUACUAAGUAUGUAUGAAGUAUGCAUUUGGUUACGAAACUAAAUAUGUAUCAUAAUAAUUCGUGCAAAUUCUUUUUUAGAAUAAUUACAUGCGGUCACUCAGCUUUCUAGCUUAGCCCUUAAUCAGUGAUUGACUUCAACUAACCACCUGCUAUAAAUAAAAUCCAUAUUUUUAAAGCCCUGUUUGUUAUGUAGAUAUAACAGAAGUUAGGAUCCUUGAUCAGGCAAUUCAGGAUAAAAUCGCCCCUGAUGAAGGACCAAGGUAGAAAGCUUGGGAAUGGGUCGACUUUUCACACUAGCAAAACAUAUCGAGAACAGUAUUUUAUAUUGUAGCAGCGAAAGGGGGCAUUUCUGAUCACAUAAAUAUAUGCACAUCAACAAAUUUGUAAUAUGCUGUAACCUUUGUUACAGGUUUUGUGCGAGUGUGUGCGUUAAUUGUAAGUGUAGAAUGUUUGUUGGAGUUUUGUUGGUCUACAUUAUAUGUUGCCCUAUAUGAUUAUAAAGGUUUUUUAUGUGCAUAAUCCCUACAUAACAUUUUAUGUUUGUCCUGUACAGAUAGUCGUGGUGUAUGUCCUGUACAGAUAGUCCUAGUGUAACUAUAGUGGGUUGAGUUGUACUGUCAUCUUAUUAUUGAAUUUCCACGGUUACUAUGAAAGGAUGUAGUUUUAAAUGAGCAUGAAAGCUAUCCGUGACCAUUAUUUUAUGUGAAGGGGAUUCUUCCUCUCGCCGACAAAACAGACUACAGUCGGUGAGACGACGCCUAGCGAUUGGUGGUGUCACGUUGGGGAAAAAACAGUAUCUAAGAAAUCAUUUUACGUUAUAUAGCAUGAUCCUUGUGUUAAAAUAAUCAAUUAUCAUCUUUUUUAUCCAGGCGAUCGAUAGCCAUUUGAUAAUACAGCCUUAUGUUCUCGUUGUGAAUAUUAUCUCACAAAACAAGAUAAUUAUUUUACCAUUUCUCUGCAGGCCUGGUGACAAGUCCCACUACAGUUCAUUUGUCAUACAUUUCUUAUGUUUAGAUAAGUAGUGGGAUUUAUAUUCGUUUUAUUGUUUUUGAGAGAAAAAAAAAUCGAUGGUUCAACAGUGCGUUAUGUUGAAAGGCGUAAGGUCUGUUGAAAUAUGUAGGCUUCGGUUUCACCUUCUGUGGACACACCGAAGGAAUCUUCAUGUUAUCAUCGGUAAAACUACUAAUGGAAAAAUAAUAGGGAUGUGGAGCUGAGUAGUUAGCAAAUAGCAUAAUAUAGGCAUUGACUAAGUUUACUCUAAACUUAAAAUGCUUGUAUUAAUCAAGUCAAUUGUAAACUUAAAAUAUAUAUGUCUUAGUUAAGUCAACCCUAAACUUAAAAUAUAUAGGUCUUACUUACGUCAAUCCUAACUUAAAAUAUAUAGGUUUUAAUUCAGAUUAACUAAGUCAACUCGUAUUCAUUAAAGCAGUAAAGUAAAGCAUUUGCAAAAUCCAUCAUAAACGUCAGUAAAAGGUCGGUACCACCAGACGGACUAAAAUGAUGGUAAAGUGAUUAAAAAAUAAAGUGGUUACGUUUGACUAUUUCUAAUUCAGAAUCAAAUAAAAAGCUUAUAUAUACGUUUAUACUAGUCAGAACUGACUCAGAACUAACUCACUACUGAAGUCUAAUAUUGUAUCUGCUUUCGGUGGCGUUUUUACAAGGGACAUGCAUACAGCUGAGGUUAUUAUGUUUUUAUAGAAGUCUAUAUUAUCAUAUUUUCGAGGAUGUGAUGACGGUCCUGAAAGUUAAUAUCAGAAGUUGUGUUCCACAGAAGUACACAUCCGCUUUGGUUUAUUUUUUGUAAAACUGCGGAAAUAUAACUAAUGAGGGGAAACGUUAUAAUAGGUUUGUAACCAGAAAUAGCGGUAGGAUGCACGUAACACCGACGGUAUAUUUGUUUGCUUAGGUCAAUAUUAACCGUUGUGCUUAGUGUCAAGAAAUAUGGAAACGUGUAUAAUAAGUGGACUGCUGGACAGGUUCUUUUUGAUUAGCUCUAAGAAACGUUAUAAACAGCAUUUCGUUACUUUACAUCAGAUUGUUAAUUAUACGUGUAUAUGUUAUAAAGCUGGUUGUGUUUUGGGAGUCUCAGAACAUUUGUAACUGUGUUCAGUUUUCACGCGGAUACAUGCAUUCACUCUUCUUAAUUCUAGUCGUGUGGCGGAAUUUCCAAAGAUUCCAAAAAUAUUUACACGGAUAUUUUUUUAGAUUUAGUUAUUAAAAUAGCAUAGAUUCUCAUCUACAAAAUUUACGUGUAGCAGGCUAAUCAAUGUGUUGUAACAUGGUAUAUUAAGUCUCUGUCUGCCGAUACAGAGGACCACAUUAAUGACAUAAUUACGGGUUUAUGAGGAUAGAAGUUAAUACUUCAUUAUUUUCCAUCUAAGACGAGCUAAUUUCGAGAUGGGCUCUGAAGUUAAAUAAAAUACGAAGGUUUUGUAGUUAAAUUGAGGUUGGAUAUGGUAGCCUUGUAGUUAAAUGGAACAUUCUUCGUUUAAAUGUCAGAUCGGAGUUACAUAGUAAUUAAUUAUAUGGUCUUGUAAAUAAAAAGAUGUUUCCACUCCUAUUUGUGCCUAAUCCGAAGGUUUCUGAUGUUUUAUCGGCCUGUUAAAAAUGGAAUGUGGACCGACCUACAUACAAACUCCAUUAAAACGAGGGGGAAAGCCGACCCGCCCUCAGGUCUGCACUUCAGAUUAGGUUUUCGUCAUCAUUACCGCCGUGUGGAUAGAAAACAUAUAUGGAAACAUCGAUUUUUGACACACCUGACCAUACAGACUUCCAUAUCACCUCACAUCAAUAGAUCGGUCCACCCAUUUUAUAAUCUAACUCAACCCUUUUCGCGGUAACAGGUCGGAAUGGCUGUACAUGAAUGUAAAAGCUUGUGUGAUAACUACUGCAUUCCUGUUGGUUUAAUGGUUUGUUUAAUUGAUGUGACCUGAUUGUGAUACAUUAAGCAUUUCUGCACAAUAUUGUUUUACUUUAUUAUAAUAAUAAAUGAAGAUUAUAUACA